CGAAGACCGACACAAGCAGUGAUGGUAGCGAUCAGCGGCAAUCGCAAGAGCUGGUAUCGGUAGCAAGCAACAGUAACAGUAGCAGGUAGCAGCAACAACAACGAAGACAUUAACGAGCAACAACAUCAACGACAUCGAUUGUGUAGGUCUGAUUUUUUUAAUUUUAUUUUCAUAUAUUCAAAUAAAGGAUUAAAUUGGAAUUUAUAAAAUUUAACUGGGA
Molecule: long non-coding RNA, 220 nt
Filed under: Citrus maxima (pomelo)
Lineage: Eukaryota; Viridiplantae; Streptophyta; Magnoliopsida; Sapindales; Rutaceae
Description: long non-coding RNA (CMAX_LNC002507)
Source: RNAcentral